This is a long non-coding RNA of Leptidea sinapis, 664 nucleotides long. RefSeq lists it as uncharacterized. The transcript is spliced from 2 exons. Lineage: Eukaryota; Metazoa; Arthropoda; Insecta; Lepidoptera; Pieridae. The record is from RefSeq and is a predicted model, not a curated record.
GAAAAAAUCUAUGCUUUCUGGAUCUGGUACUGAUGAACUCUAUGUACCUUCAUUAUGGUACUACAAAGAGCUUGAAUUUCUACAAGACCAAGUGGAGGAAGAAUCGGGGAUCAGUUCAAUAACAGGACAAACGGAAUCAUCAUCAAAACUACCAACAUCAACAUCAACACAAUCACCUUUGCCACCUUCAGCAUCUAUUAGUCCUGUACAAAUAAAAAAGAAGAAAAAGGAGGACUUGCAACAUGACUUAAUGACAUUAGCCAGGGAUCAUUUCAAAAAACCUGAAAAUGAAUAUCAAGUGAUGGCAAGAAACUGGGUCUUUAAACUAGAGCGCAUGUCUGGAGAACAAAGAAGACUGGCAGAAAAAUUCAUAAACGAAAUACUCUUUGAAGGAGAAGAAGGAAACCUUCAUAGACAUUCAGUAGUUAUUAAUCCGUCUCAGCCAGCACUCGCUUGGAACACUCCAUCACCUAUUCCGUACACCCCAUGAGCAAUCAUAUCUGUCCAAUACGGAGCAACCUGUGAUGAUUCAUAUUUCAGACUCGCAAACAAAUGAAAAUAAUCCAACCGAACCUGAAGAUGAUACAGCAGCCAAAUUUAUAAACAAUUUUUAUUCUCUUUAAAUUAUAUAUUUUGUAAUUUUGAAAUAAAAAUCUUACCUGAA